GGAUCGUUUUCUGGUUUCUUUGCUUAUGUGUCUGUCUCCAAAUGCCUUGAAUCUUCCUCCCCUUCUUCGAUAAAAUCAGGUGUCACAUUCUUCUUGUUAAUAGAAUGAUUUUUCUUCGUUUUGUGCUCUGUCGAUCGAAAAAUGGACGAUUCAUGGAGCUAGGACCUCAGCUAAGCAUGCUGGAUGAAAUAGCAAUAACACCUGGGUGACUUAAAUGGAAAUGUACAUGGUGCUGCCUUCAGGAUAAGGGUUGGUGAAGAUUAUGUUUCACUCUGGUGGAAGGAUGAACUAAGGACCAUGCAUCGAUGACGGUCACCUGAAACAAUGGAAUCAUUGACUUGACCCUGGAUAUUUUUAAAAUGGCUUCAACCAUCUACAAGGCCAGUCGAAAGAAACAAGGUGGCGUAAGGUUUAGCAAUUGGAGGAUUGUGUAAAUUCUUAAGGCAACGUACUGGGAAACGGUACUAUGGUGGGUGUCUUAGAUAAUAGAGAAGAGAAGAAACUGACAGACGAUAAACUUUGCAGCUUGAUGCUGACAAAUAUGAAUUGGUGACGAACACGACAAUGACAGCCAAGAGUAUAUAUUUGUCGGCCACUUGUCGCAAGCGCUUUCACAUGGAUUUGGUUAUGACGAGAUUGCAUCAAACUGCCCUUGGGGUGGAAAAGUGCCGACUAUAGUAAGCAAGUUGGGUUCUUGGCCCCUUGAAAUGAGUCAUCACAAUCAAUUUCUCUAUCAUGAAACAUUUAGUGUAUGGAAUUAUCUCAAGGACGACUGAUGUUAAGAUUUUAGUUUUUCAAGUAUGCUUGGAACACUUGCACGAGCUCGGGUACUCCAUGUUUCCCCACCACUUUUGUUAAUUAUUGACUUGUAAAAUUACUUGAAACCUAAGUUACACGAACUUGAGUUUUUUUUUAUUAGUCUAGAGUGAUUACAAGG
Hibiscus syriacus is the source of this 937-nucleotide long non-coding RNA. RefSeq lists it as uncharacterized. The transcript has 5 exons. The record is from RefSeq and is a predicted model, not a curated record. Lineage: Eukaryota; Viridiplantae; Streptophyta; Magnoliopsida; Malvales; Malvaceae.